Molecule: ribosomal RNA, 278 nt
Filed under: uncultured eukaryote
Lineage: Eukaryota
Description: partial 18S ribosomal RNA
Rfam family: Eukaryotic small subunit ribosomal RNA
Source: RNAcentral
UAGUCAUAUGCUUGUCUCAAAGAUUAAGCCAUGCAUGUCUAAGUAUAAACAACUUUGUACUGUGAAACUGCGAAUGGCUCAUUAAAUCAGUUAUAGUUUAUUUGAUGGUAUCUUACUACAUGGAUAACUGUGGUAAUUCUAGAGCUAAUACAUGCAAUCAAGCCCCGACUUCCGGAAGGGGUGUAUUUAUUAGAUAAAAAACCAACGCGGCUCGCCGCUCCCUUGGUGAUUCAUAAUAACUUCUCGAAUCGCAUGGCCUUGUGCCGGCGAUGCUUCAU